AACGCAUCUUGCGCCCUUUGGUAUUCCUUGGGGCACACCUGUUUGAGUGUCAUGUACAUCUCGACUGGCUAUUUUUUGUAGCUGGCUCGGUUUUGGAGAGUUGCCGGGUUGCAUGAUCUGGCUCUUUCCCGAAUUCAUUAGUCAAGGUUUCAACCACUUGCAUUGGCGUAGCAAAGCUUUCGCCGCAUAUACUGUGGUAUAUAACUUUGGCUCUCUAAAGCCCAAAUUUUUGUGUUUUGACCUCAAAUCAGGUGGGACUACCCGCUGAACUUAA
Molecule: unclassified non-coding RNA, 274 nt
Filed under: uncultured fungus
Lineage: Eukaryota; Fungi
Description: sequence contains ITS2
Source: RNAcentral